This 274-nucleotide ribosomal RNA is filed under the name uncultured bacterium. Its description in RNAcentral is "partial 16S ribosomal RNA". It matches the Rfam family "Bacterial small subunit ribosomal RNA", at positions 523 to 796 of the family's 1533-position model. The record is from RNAcentral.
AUACGGAGGGGGCUAGCGUUGUUCGGAAUCACUGGGCGUAAAGCGCGCGUAGGCGGUCUGCGUAGUCAGGCGUGAAAGCCCCGGGCUCAACCUGGGAACUGCGCUUGAUACUGGCGGGCUAGAGUACGGGAGAGGGUAGUGGAAUUCCCAGUGUAGAGGUGAAAUUCGUAGAUAUUGGGAAGAACACCAGUGGCGAAGGCGGCUACCUGGACCGGUACUGACGCUGAGGUGCGAAAGCGUGGGGAGCAAACAGGAUUAGAUACCCUAGUAGUCC